Long non-coding RNA from Mercurialis annua (annual mercury), 1481 nucleotides. RefSeq lists it as uncharacterized. The record is from RefSeq and is a predicted model, not a curated record. The transcript has 2 exons. Lineage: Eukaryota; Viridiplantae; Streptophyta; Magnoliopsida; Malpighiales; Euphorbiaceae.
AUUAGUUGCAUCAUCCUAAUUUUGGCAGUGAUGUCUUGAAUGCUGCGAGUUUUUCUCUUCUCAAUCAUGUGCUCCUCGGUUAUUUCCUGCAUCUCCGUGUCCCCGAGUAUGGGUUGUAUCAAAAAUUAGAGUAGCUGAUUUUUUUUUGUAAAAUUCUAAGAGAAUUUUUUUUUGCUACCCGGUUGUUUAAUCAGGUAAAUCAUUGGUAGAAAAUAGAGAGCACUUGGAAGGUGAUAGUUGAUUGCAUCAGCAGCUUUAAAAUUCAAAUUAAGUAGACCAGUUUUUUUAGUGAUUUUGUAAUGAUUUAUUGUUCAGCUAGCUGCUAGAAUUAGUAGCUUAAGUGUAGGAAGUUUGUUUCAUUUAUAUCUCCUUUUAUGUUGAAGUUUUUGUAUUUAAGUCGAUCACUACUCAAUGAAAUAAUAUCAACCUUCUCCCAGUUAUUUUCUUUAUUUUACUGCUGUUUUGUUUUUUAAGAAAACAAACGUUUGAAACCAACAGAAAGUGACUGCUCUAAGGACAUGUCAUAUGGGACCGACUUCUACCUCUUGUUGGAACUCAGUAGAAGUAACAAACAAUAAACUUUAUUCAUUUAUAAGAUAAUAUAUCAAAAAAUUCUGCAUGUUCUUUUUUUUUUCUUCCAGUUUUUCAGUUUCUGCUAUAUUUUAGGCACAACUUGAACAUACAUCAUUGCUUCUAGUUCGCCCACUUUGUAUGCAUGAUGUUGGCAAAUUGUCAAAGUAUCCUUUUUCCUUUUACUAUUGGCUCAGAGGGAAGGUAGUCUUGAAUUCCCCACGAGUCAAGACCAUCCCCGUUUUAUGGUUGCCGGUUUUCUGUCAUCCUUUGGGAUUCAGCAAGACCAUUUGGAUAUGCAAAUUUAUCCAUCUCGUUCUACAUACUACAUAGGUAUACUGAUGCAAACAAAGUUCAUGACAUGGGAAGCCAAUUGUAGUAAGAUUUGAUUGUGUGUUAUGACAAUAUAAUAUGUAUUUACAGAAGAGUGUGUGAUUUGAGAGGAAAGGUAAAAACUUUGUUGACAUAUUGCACUAAUUUGGAUACACUCGGCAACAGCUCUGAACCAUGCUACUGCAAAGCAGGCCGUUGGGUAGUAAAGUGAUGAAGUAUGGUUUAUGCGCAGGACACGUGAUUACUUAUUAGUAGCGGAAAUCAUAUAAAGAAGAAGGAUGGUGCAGCAUUGUGGUUAGAGUCUCCAGAAAGGCCGUUGCUUGCGCUUUGUAUGGUUAGAUACCUGCUCUGUCUCUCGCAACAUUUCCCACAUCACACGAACAUCCUCAUAGCCACAGCUCUCGACAUCAUUGUGAAGCUUCAAAAGUCCAGCAGCUGCAACCAAACUUGUAAGUCAACUUUUUACUAUUCUAGACGACCUAUUUACUUGGCACGAUACAACUUAUAAUAUAGACUACACAGCAGGACUUGUAUAAACACAAUAUUUUAUGAGGUCAAUCAUAUUGAUUGGAGUUAAA